RNAcentral lists this ribosomal RNA (450 nucleotides) under uncultured bacterium. Its description in RNAcentral is "partial 16S ribosomal RNA". It matches the Rfam family "Bacterial small subunit ribosomal RNA", at positions 354 to 796 of the family's 1533-position model. The record is from RNAcentral.
GUGGGGAAUCUUCCGCAAUGGACGAAAGUCUGACGGAGCAACGCCGCGUGAGUGAUGAAGGUCUUCGGAUUGUAAAGCUCUGUUAAUCGGGACGAAAGAGCCUAGUGUGAAUAAUGCUAGGAAGUGACGGUACCGGAAUAGAAAGCCACGGCUAACUACGUGCCAGCAGCCGCGGUAAUACGUAGGUGGCAAGCGUUGUCCGGAAUUAUUGGGCGUAAAGCGCGCGCAGGCGGAUCUGCCAGUCUGUCUUAAAAGUUCGGGGCUUAACCCCGUGAUGGGAUGGAAACUACAGAUCUAGAGUAUCGGAGAGGAAAGUUGAAUUCCUAGUGUAGCGGUGAAAUGCGUAGAUAUUAGGAAGAACACCAGUGGCGAAGGCGACUUUCUGGACGAAAACUGACGCUGAGGCGCGAAAGCCAGGGGAGCGAACGGGAUUAGAAACCCCAGUAGUCC